UCAUCUUGUCCUCACAAAUGUUGCCCUCUUUCAAAUACUUUUCCAUUUUUCUGACAGACCAUCUGACAAACCUUUGCCUCAACUGUGGGGAGGAAAAUGCAGAUGACAGUGAAGAGGCAGAGCUGACAUGGAUAUCCUGUGAUGCCUGUGGAUGGUGGUUCCACCAUGCAUGUGUUGGAAUGCCAAAGAUCGAGGACAAAUUUGUGUGUGCAGCAUGCUGAGGCAAAGGAACUUAUUUCUUAGGAAGUUCAUGUAUCAAUAAGAAAUGUUCUAUUUACAGUUUAUUUUUCCUUGAUUUUGAAUGUUUCAUUUUUUAAAUUAUUUUAAUGUUUUUGUUGAUGUGUUAAAUAUUGCACAUUUUGCCAUUUAAUUUUGUAUUUAUUGAAUUGAAUAAUAAUUCUACAUUAUAAAAAGUAAGUUUAUUUUUUGUUUAAUGUUAU
This is a long non-coding RNA of Epinephelus moara (kelp grouper), 440 nucleotides long. RefSeq lists it as uncharacterized. The record is from RefSeq and is a predicted model, not a curated record. NCBI's taxonomy places the organism in Eukaryota, Metazoa, Chordata, Actinopteri, Perciformes, Serranidae. The transcript has 2 exons.